AUCAGGAUGGUUUUUCGGUUAGUUUAUUUGUUUUCAUGAUUCUUCCUGCCCUUCCUCCUUUUAGCCAUGUGAGGGUUCUUGGAUGAGGUUAAUCCAAUCAUCAUGAGCUCCAUUUCAAUUUGCAAAUUCCUCAUUCUCGCAUAUGGCCAUAGAGGUCUGUUUGGCUUACUAUGGAUGCCAGACACUUAGGAUUUCAUCUCAGAGGCAAUCAGGUGUGUGUCAAACUCCCUACCUAUUUUUAAACAGCACAUGCAUUCUAAAACAAGCCAGCAUAUACUUUUUUAAGAAGUUAUUUACCGUGAUGUGUCAUGCAGUCACUUGCUCUAAGAAGGUUGGCACGAGAGCUCAGAUAAAGAUAAACUCUUUUUGAUACAUGCCUGGAAUAUGGAGGAGCUCAGUCGUGGCUACACUCAUCACCCUUAGUUUUUCCAAUAAGAAAAUAACCUAAUAACAACUAAGUCUCCAUUUCCUUAUUAGCAUUCCACUAGGGGUACUCCAGGCUAUGCCUUUAACUACAUAUCAGUCAAUGGCAGGGCAAGAGUGCUUCCUGUGUAAUUAAAACCGCCAUGUUCAGGCAGAUACUGCUAGGCAAGGUAGUAGCCUUGAAAUACUUACAAGGAGGUGGGGAAGAGCACGCAUUUGGCUUUGGAAAGUGACUUUUAGGGUCUGAGUAUGUGCUUGUCAUACUAAAU
This 692-nucleotide long non-coding RNA is filed under the name Homo sapiens (human). RNAcentral's name for it is "non-protein coding lnc-UGGT2-4:1". The record is from RNAcentral. Lineage: Eukaryota; Metazoa; Chordata; Mammalia; Primates; Hominidae.